Molecule: ribosomal RNA, 467 nt
Filed under: uncultured bacterium
Lineage: Bacteria
Description: partial 16S ribosomal RNA
Rfam family: Bacterial small subunit ribosomal RNA
Source: RNAcentral
GACGAACGCUGGCGACGUGCUUAACACAUGCAAGUCGAACGGAAAGGCCUCAGCUUGCUGGGGUACUCGAGUGGCGAACGGGUGAGUAACACGUGGGUGAUCUGCCUUGCACUCUGGGAUAAGCUUGGGAAACUGGGUCUAAUACCGGAUAUGAACUGCCUUUAGUGUGGUGGUUGGAAAGUUUUUUCGGUGCAAGAUGAGCUCGCGGCCUAUCAGCUUGUUGGUGGGGUAAUGGCCUACCAAGGCGUCGACGGGUAGCCGGCCUGAGAGGGUGUACGGCCACAUUGGGACUGAGAUACGGCCCAGACUCCUACGGGAGGCAGCAGUGGGGAAUAUUGCACAAUGGGCGGAAGCCUGAUGCAGCGACGCCGCGUGGGGGAUGACGGCCUUCGGGUUGUAAACUCCUUUCGACAGGGACGAAGCUUUUUGUGACGGUACCUGUAUAAGAAGCACCGGCUAACUACGUG